Molecule: RNA transcript, 4830 nt
Organism: Triticum aestivum (bread wheat)
Lineage: Eukaryota; Viridiplantae; Streptophyta; Magnoliopsida; Poales; Poaceae
Exons: 4
Source: RefSeq, a predicted model, not a curated record
UCCGCACAUCACGCCGCUAAAUGAACCCAACAAAUUAUCCACUGCCCCAAUGGCGCCCCUGCCUUUCUUCCCCACCGCUAUGCUCCCCUCUCCCCACGGACGCCUCCCAGCCUCUGCCGCCGCCCCGCGCGACGGACGCCAUCCCUCCCCUAUUUCCCUCUUCACCUCCACGGCCACGCCGCGUCGCCGCCCGAGCCCCACUGCGGUCGCUAUGAUCCGCCGCGCCGCCCCACACCCGAAGCUGCAGUCGAGAUGCAUCUGAGCGAGAACGAGGGGAUCGAGGGCGUGCGGUUCGCGGUGACUGGCGGGCAGGGCUUCGUCGGCGCCGCGCUAUGCCUAGAGUUGAUCCGCCGCGGCGCCCUGGAGGUCUGCUCUCUCGACGGCUCGACCUGCGCGAUUCCUCCUCUUGGUCCCAGUAGCUCCUCGAUGCCAGUGUCCGCUUCUUCCAAGGUUCUCUCCCUCACUCUCUUUUGCUUAAAUUACUGUGGUUUUUUUCUUCUGUCGCCAUGAGUGGGCGUGAGACUGCGUCGCAGGGAAGAAGGUAAUUUGUUUUUCUGUCCAAUGCAUUGAAGCUAUAAUGUACGUGCUUAGUAAAUUGUUUAGGGCGGUGUGAGACUUAUAAUGCCUGCCAAGUGCCAACUUAGUGAAUUGAUAAACCAGGAAUUUUGUGUUUUUUACUUCACUUGAUUUUGCACAAUUCAGUUAUGUGUCCACUGAAUGGAUUUGACAUGACAUUUCCUGCAGGCAAUGAGGGAAGUAGAUGGGCAUGGCUGAUCUGUUCGUCAUGCAGUUAUGUGCUAUCUUAUUCCUUGAUACUGAGUGUGAGCCCAUGCAUGUGCAAGCUAUAUGUACCCUUAAGCUAUUAGUGUUCUCUAACUUAUUUCCUACUAUUCCUGUAUGGUACCACUUUUUCCCUAGCAAGGAUAUGUGAGCCUAUUAACCUUAUGUUGUCUGUCAAUGUCAGAUUUAGAACCCAGCAAAGAAAUAUGGCAGAAAUUUGCAUAUUAACCUUUCUUGUGCAGGUUUGAGAUAUAAAUGUCACACAGAUGAUUCUUUGCCAUGAGUGUGUAAACUUAAUGAGGCAACAUGGUCUUCGGCACAAGAAAUACCCAUGGACGUGAGUGCGGGCUGCCGCUCCGGCCUCCACUCCUCUGCUUGACCACCGCUGCCACCACGUUGAGGCCCUCGCCACCAAGCGGCAUGCUUUCCCGUGAGCUAGCUUCUUCAACACAUGUUUCUCUGAAUUUCUACAAGCUAAAUUAGUACAUGCUUCUCUGAACGUUAGCCUGUAUUGGAUUCUUGUAUGUUAUGAUUUGCCCAAUCUGCUCUUCCUACACCCAUGGAUAGGGACAAAGGGCAGGUACACAAAUAGCUAAGAACACAAGGAGACGUGCAGGUCUGCGUUUCUGAGUUAUAUCUCUUUUAGCACCAGCGAUUAAAUGGUGUGUAGCUGGUCAGGCGUGCUUGCCUAAAAUGUACUUUAGUAGUUGCUAGAUCCAUGCUAGCUUCUAUGUUGUUCUUGCAGCCUCAGCUAGCUAAUUUUAUUUAAAGCAAAUGUUGUUCUAUCCUUCCAAUUACUGUUAUUCAGUUCUUCUUUUCUUUUUUCUGUUGUCGUUCACAGUACAAAUGUUAUGAGAAUUUCAUGAAUUUUGUCAUAUCUUUCUCCCAGUUACCUUAAUUUUGUAAAUUGUGGUCUAAUUCAAUUUUGAGUUUGUUUUCAGAAAAGCCUACUUUAAAGCUGUGUAAAUCCAUUAUUUCCUUUGAGUUUGCCAUGGAGGUGAGUUGGGAACCUUUUUUAUACUUGGUGGAUGCACUGAUGUAGUGACGGAGACUUGCCUGAAUGUUGUUUUCCUCAGCGCGAAGUGCUUACAAUUCUCAAAGGCGUCAACAAGUCCAGGAGGAGAUUGACAAGUUGGUUUGGUACCAUCAGCCGAUUGGCCAGUUGGAAAACCAGCGGGGAAAACAUGUACUGUGAGCUCCCCUCGCAUUCAGAGUUUAGAGCUUGAUGAACAAUGUUGUGUGAGCUUGUUGAUGAUCUGCUAUUUUUCACAAAAUUGGGACAUGUCGGAUGGUCGAUGUGAGGUUCUCUAAGUAAAAAAAAAAUCCUCAUUUGUCCAUUCUAAUAGUCUGAUGGAAUUUUGUUGAUAAGAACCUACAGUUUCUUGGGUAAGUUUGGGUUAGGAGUUCCGUAUAUAUGCGCCAAGAAAGUAUAUAGGGAAAUCAUGACAUGUUUUUUUUGCAGUGCCAACACUGAAAUGUAAAGUGUGUCAUGCAUGACUUUUAUAUGUGUUUUAGGAAUUGGAGGAUAGCUCUAUAAACAAAAUUCCUUAUUCUGCACUUCUCUGCUUUGCUUGGCAGGAAUUCUUGUUGUAAAGAGCGAAGGCAUGGUUUGGUUUGCAUGACAUUAUCUUCAAUUGGCUGGAGAUAUAUAAAUGUUGAUACUUGAUUUUCUCACCUGGCAUUUUAUCACUUCUGUGAAAGACACUCCAUUUUCUCAUAGUAAUAGUUCGUUAUUAUUGUUGAUACAUAAAUGGAUCUUUAUUGAAUGGUACUUGUAUGUGUGUAUGGAGAAUGGUGAUUAACCUUUUAAAUAAUCUAUUAUCCAACAAGGUGAUUCUAAUUUCUGAUUAGAUUAUACUAUAACAAUAUGAUUAGCAAAAUUUCAAACGGUUGUAUAUUUGACACAUAGUGCAAUGGGCCGAAGCCCGCCUGUAUAUUUUGUUCAAAUACUGAAAUUCAUUUACAGGGGAUUAUAAUCAUUUGGGCGCUAUGCAUUGAGAAAGUGUGCAUUUAGAUAAGAGACUAUAUAAUUAACGCAAAGAUGUGCGAUGUUUUUUUCAACAAGAAUGUUGAUCAUGAAGAAUGAUAAUCAAAUUAUUUGUAUGAGUCAAGAAAUGCACUUUGUAUGAAUUUUCAAAAAAUUCCAGAAAUUUAUGUAUAUUUCGUAAGAGUUUUUCAUGUUUGAUACGUGCGUUGCACGUGCACGCUUACUAGUGUGUAAAAAACCGAACAGAAACGAAGCAAUUCUCGACAAACAGAAAACGAAGAAAAACGAAGCUGAAAAAAAACACCCCAGUCUCCAUAAUAGUUAAAAAAUUCGAACUAGUGAGGCCGUCGGUUCAAAAUUUUACCGGUCAGACCGCCGGUUCACCGGUUCGAUGUCUAGUUUUUUAUAUAUACCAUAAAUAAUACAUUCCGUGUACUAGUGCCAUACUAAAUAGAUGUUAAAUACAAUCAUUUAAAUAAAAUUGAAAAGAAAAUUGGCCAGCCAAGAUGGUUUUGGGUCAAAGGUUUGAAUUCCUUUUGACGCAGGUUAUUUUCUAUUUUUUGUGUGGCACUGGUUCAACCGCCGGUUUUAUGCCUUGGGUUCAUGCAAAAACUAACCUGUUUACAUGGUUUUUCCGGUCCAAUUGCAGGUCGGUCUUUUUAGCUUUAAAACCUGAUAGGGACGCUGGUUCUGGUUUUUUUUCGGUCCGACCGCCGGUCUGGUCCGGUUUUUUAAACUAUGGUCUCGAUACCCAAAUCAACACGAGUGACCCGCCACCGGGGCGACAGCUUGCCGACGGCGCUGGAUUCCACGUUCUCCUCCGCCUCCCGCCCCAGCCAUCAUCGUUCCUCCGAGCCUCAGCCAUCUGCAAGCACGGUCAAUGACUCGUCACUGACCCUAAAUUCCUCAUCUGCUUCCGCGCCCGGCACCAGAAGCCACCCCUCCUUGGCGUCUUCGAGCGCAGCGCCAGCUAGUAUAUUAUGUAUCCAAUACUUUCAUCUGUUUUAAUCUUGCCAUUAAUUUUACCUUCGUAAUAAUAUAACUUUUCUUGAAUCCAAUAAUGCUUUUGUUACUUGAUGAUGAUCCUCUGCAAGUGACCAGUGCAUCUGUAGCACAAUAGAAAUAAUACCAGUCUCCAUUCUCCAAACUGAAUACCCAAUAGCACUUUCGUUGUGGUGAGGGAUGAGUUUACAUGAGAAAAAUUCUUUUGACAGCUAAAUAUUUCAUUAUGAGGUAUCUAUAUAUGCUGUUUAUUCUUUGCAUUUUACAGCAUACUCCUAUAUGAUUUUGUUUACUAUUGCUAGUAUCUAUAAAAAUUUAUUAUUAUUUUCAAGUUAUAUUGCCUUCUCUUAUCUUAUCUAUAAAAGGUUAGUUACAAAACAUCUAUGAGGAGUGAUUUAUUUUUCUCAAGUCAACACAUAUAUGAUAUAUGUGUAAUUGACUCAUUGUUCAUUUCUCUUGUCCAUUUGUCUUCUCCUCGGAACUGUUGUUAAUUGCCUGACUUCUUAUGCUUUAUAGGCACAACCAUUAAGUGUGGAUCUAAUGGAGCUAAAAUGUUGCAUGACUCAUAGGAUGAUUAACUCGUUUAUGUGCGAAUGUGCUGAAAUGGUUCAAAAGGCACAUCCAUUGGAUCUAAUGGAGAAAAUGAUGCGUGAAGAUAGAAGAUAAUUGUUUUCUUUGAUGUGCUAAUGUGCUGAAGUAAUUCAACAGAUGAAGGAAUGACCGAUGCAGUUCUCACCGGGUUUGUUCCAUUGCAUCAAUGUGGCCUGCACUAUUUAUAUGUUAUCUGAAAAGAAAAAACUUGUCAUGCUAGUCUAGCCCAAUUUCUACUGUAGCAAGAUGGUGCUUCUGAAUACCUAAUCCAGGGAAUUUCAGCUUACCCUAGUGUUAUUUGAAAUCAAAUUUCUUUCUUUAUAUGCUAGUGCUUGGAAGCUCCUCUCUUCGACAAUGUGUGGUUCAGGCCCAAGGAUCACCAAAACUUAUAUGUUUGUCAGUUUGUGUAUUCUUCUCGGUUCUUGUGCUUGGAUGCCAUUACAGUCGAUGUAUUUUGUACCGAUGGGAAU